RNAcentral lists this small RNA (127 nucleotides) under Marmota monax (woodchuck). The record is from RNAcentral. Lineage: Eukaryota; Metazoa; Chordata; Mammalia; Rodentia; Sciuridae.
GCCAAGCAUGGUGGUGCAUGCCUGUGAUCCUAGCAACUUGGGAGGCUGAGGCAGGAGGAUUUCAAGUUCAAGGCCAGCUUCAGCAACUUAGCACAGACCUGAGCAACUUAGGGAGACCCUGUCUCAA